This 253-nucleotide ribosomal RNA is filed under the name uncultured bacterium. Its description in RNAcentral is "partial 16S ribosomal RNA". It matches the Rfam family "Bacterial small subunit ribosomal RNA", at positions 524 to 776 of the family's 1533-position model. The record is from RNAcentral.
UACGUAGGGUGCGAGCGUUAAUCGGAAUUACUGGGCGUAAAGCGUGCGCAGGCGGUUUUGUAAGCCGGAUGUGAAAUCCCCGGGCUUAACCUGGGAAUGGCAUUCGGGACUGCAAGGCUGGAGUGCGGCAGAUGAGACUGGAAUUCCUGGUGUAGCAGUGAAAUGCGUAGAUAUCAGGAGGAACACCGAUGGCGAAGGCAGGUCUCUGGGCCGUAACUGACGCUGAGGAGCGAAAGCGUGGGGAGCGAACAGG